GAUGAACGCUGGCGGCGUGCCUAAUACAUGCAAGUCGAGCGAACAGAUGAGGAGCUUGCUCCUCUGACGUUAGCGGCGGACGGGUGAGUAACACGUGGAUAACCUACCUAUAAGACUGGGAUAACUUCGGGAAACCGGAGCUAAUACCGGAUAAUAUAUUGAACCGCAUGGUUCAAUAGUGAAAGACGGUUUUGCUGUCACUUAUAGAUGGAUCCGCGCCGCAUUAGCUAGUUGGUAAGGUAACGGCUUACCAAGGCAACGAUGCGUAGCCGACCUGAGAGGGUGACCGGCCACCCUGCAACGGAGACACGGUCCAGACUCCUACGGGAGGCAGCAGUAGGGAAUCUUCCGCAAUGGGCGAAAGCUUGACGGAGCAACGCCGCGUGAGUGAUGAAGGUCUUCGGAUCGUAAAACUCUGUUAUUAGGGAAGAACAAAUGUGUAAGUAACUAUGCACGUCUUGACGGUACCUAAUCAGAAAGCCACGGCUAACUACGUG
This 497-nucleotide ribosomal RNA is filed under the name uncultured bacterium. Its description in RNAcentral is "partial 16S ribosomal RNA". It matches the Rfam family "Bacterial small subunit ribosomal RNA", at positions 28 to 507 of the family's 1533-position model. The record is from RNAcentral.